This is a long non-coding RNA of Phasianus colchicus (ring-necked pheasant), 634 nucleotides long. RefSeq lists it as uncharacterized. Lineage: Eukaryota; Metazoa; Chordata; Aves; Galliformes; Phasianidae. The record is from RefSeq and is a predicted model, not a curated record.
AGAUCUUUUCAUUUAAAUGUAUUUUAUACCAGGGAACUCAAUGCCAACACGGAAUUUAGGUGGGGAAAGAGCGUGUUGUUGCAUUUGCAUUGAUAAAAUUGAGUCAGGUGAACUGACACCUUGCUGCAUGUAUUACAAAGUAGUAAUAUUAUUCUAGAAUUGCUGGAAUAAUAUUUCAACACUUUCAGAGCUACCCCUCUUUUAACUCCAACCAUUUGAACCAAAUUAGAAGACUGGUUUUCCCCCCAAAGUCUUUUUUUUUAACAGAACUUGCUGAACAGACUGUUGAGGAACUGUUAGGUCAUGGCUUGAACCAGUGAUUGUGCACCUGGUGAAGAGAUGCAGCUAUCCUAGGGAACACAGACAAAUUGCUUGCACCUGUACACAGGCACAGCUUGUACCAAUAGACCAUAAGUGGUAAACCCCAGGGUGGAGCUACCCUGGACUCAUAUAAGGGCCAGCUACAGAAGGGAGAACAUCUCUUGAACCUAUGGUUUCCUGAGGAGCACUGUAUUAACAGAAAUCUCCUUCACUGUUUUGUUAGAGGCAUAUAAUUCCCUGCUGUCUAGUCCUGCAGAGCAGAUAUAUAAGAAGGAAAUAACAGAAUCAGAGAAUCAUUUGAGUUGGAUCCUUA